This 922-nucleotide ribosomal RNA is filed under the name Bagadiella victoriae. RNAcentral describes it as "eukaryotic LSU rRNA". It matches the Rfam family "Eukaryotic large subunit ribosomal RNA", at positions 15 to 962 of the family's 3401-position model. Lineage: Eukaryota; Fungi; Ascomycota; Sordariomycetes; Amphisphaeriales; Clypeophysalosporaceae. The record is from RNAcentral.
GUAGGAAUACCCGCUGAACUUAAGCAUAUCAAUAAGCGGAGGAAAAGAAACCAACAGGGAUUGCCUCAGUAACGGCGAGUGAAGCGGCAACAGCUCAAAUUUGAAAUCUGGCGCUUGCGUCCGAGUUGUAAUUUGUAGAAGAUGCAUUUGGUGAGGUUCCUUCCGAGUUCCCUGGAACGGGACGCCUUAGAGGGUGAGAGCCCCGUACGGUUGGAUACCGAGCCUCUGUAAUGCUCUUUCGACGAGUCGAGUAGUUUGGGAAUGCUGCUCUAAAUGGGAGGUAAAUUUCUUCUAAAGCUAAAUACCGGCCAGAGACCGAUAGCGCACAAGUAGAGUGAUCGAAAGAUGAAAAGCACUUUGAAAAGAGGGUUAAAUAGCACGUGAAAUUGUUGAAAGGGAAGGAUUUAUGACCAGACUUUUUCUGGGCGGAUCAUCCGGGGUUCUCUCCGGUGCACUUCGCCCAGUUUAGGCCAGCAUCGGUUUCUGCAGCUGGAUAAAAGCAGUGGGAAUGUGGCUCCCUCCGGGGAGUGUUAUAGCCCAUUGUAUAAUACAGUUGCGGGGACCGAGGUACGCGCUUCUGCAAGGAUGCUGGCAUAAUGGUUAUUAAUCACCCGUCUUGAAACACGGACCAAGGAGUCGAACAUUUAUGCGAGUGUUUGGGUGUUAAACCCUCACGCGUAAUGAAAGUGAACGGAGGUGAGAGCCCUUACGGGUGCAUCAUCGACCGAUCCUGACGUUUUCUGAAGGAUUUGAGUAAGAGCAUAACUGUUCGGACCCGAAAGAUGGUGAACUAUGCGUGGAUAGGGUGAAGCCAGAGGAAACUCUGGUGGAGGCUCGCAGCGGUUCUGACGUGCAAAUCGAUCGUCAAAUCUGCGCAUGGGGGCGAAAGACUAAUCGAACCAUCUAGUAGCUGGUUACCGCC